Long non-coding RNA from Oncorhynchus tshawytscha (Chinook salmon), 1634 nucleotides. RefSeq lists it as uncharacterized. The transcript is spliced from 2 exons. Lineage: Eukaryota; Metazoa; Chordata; Actinopteri; Salmoniformes; Salmonidae. The record is from RefSeq and is a predicted model, not a curated record.
CACUAACUACUUCUGUAAUAAACACAACUGUUCAACAUGACUUAUAGCCCCAUCAGGGCAGUACCCAGGCUUGGAGUUUUAGUAAGAUCUGGAAGGGGGUAGCUGUGGAGUCAUUCUCCGAGUCGUUUCUUUGUUUGUUUGGGGGAUGUCUGUAGACACGGCAGGCGUCGUGGGAUGUUUUAAAAAUUGCCUUUUGCAAACACACUGUCAGCAGCGUGUCUAGUAGACUAGUUGAGUUCAGAGCCGACUUAGAGCUGGGCUAGUUCAUGUCACGUCUCAGGCCCUCAUCCUGUUCACCGAGUGGCCGGAGAUAGCCGUUUGAGAGGGGGGUGAAUGUGCUGCUAAAAAGGCAAAUCCAGGGGAGGCAGGUGAACAUAACGAACAAACCACUGUUCAUGAUUCCACUCGUUCACAAAGAGGCAGGUGAACAUAACGAACAAACCACUGUUCAUGAUUCCACUCGUUCACAAAGAGGCAGGUGAACAUAACGAACAAACCACUGUUCAUGAUUCCACUCGUUCACAAAGAGGCAGGCGAACAUAACGAACAAACCACUGUUCAUGAUUCCACUCGUUCACAAAGAGGCAGGUGAACAUAACGAACAAACCACUGUUCAUGAUUCCACUCGUUCACAAAGAGGCAGGUGAACAUAACGAACAAACCACUGUUCAUGAUUCCACUCGUUCACAAAGAGGCAGGUGAACAUAACGAACAAACCACUGUUCAUGAUUCCACUCGUUCACAAAGAGGCAGGUGAACAUAACGAACAAACCACUGUUCAUGAUUCCACUCGUUCACAAAGAGGCAGGUGAACAUAACGAACAAACCACUGUUCAUGAUUCCACUCGUUCACAAAGAGGCAGGUGAACAUAACGAACAAACCACUGUUCAUGAUUCCACUCGUUCACAAAGAGGCAGGUGAACAUAACGAACAAACCACUGUUCAUGAUUCCACUCGUUCACAAAGAGGCAGGUGAACAUAACGAACAAACCACUGUUCAUGAUUCCACUCGUUCACAAAGAGGCAGGUGAACAUAACGAACAAACCACUGUUCAUGAUUCCACUCGUUCACAAAGAGGCAGGUGAACAUAACGAACAAACCACUGUUCAUGAUUCCACUCGUUCACAAAGAGGCAGGUGAACAUAACGAACAAACCACUGUUCAUGAUUCCACUCGUUCACAAAGAGGCAGGUGAACAUAACGAACAAACCACUGUUCAUGAUUCCACUCGUUCACAAAGAGGCAGGUGAACAUAACGAACAAACCACUGUUCAUGAUUCCACUCGUUCACAAAGAGGCAGGUGAACAUAACGAACAAACCACUGUUCAUGAUUCCACUCGUUCACAAAGAGGCAGGUGAACAUAACGAACAAACCACUGUUCAUGAUUCCACUCCUUCACAAAGAGGCAGGUGAACAUAACGAACAAACCACUGUUCAUGAUUCCACUCCUUCACAAAGAGGCAGGUGAACAUAACGAACAAACCACUGUUCAUGAUUCCACUCGUUCACAAAGAGGCAGGUGAACAUAACGAACAAACCACUGUUCAUGAUUCCACUCGUUCACAAAGAGGCAGGUGAACAUAACGAACAAACCACUGUUCAUGAUUCCACUCGUUCACAAAGAGGCAGG